Molecule: ribosomal RNA, 268 nt
Filed under: uncultured bacterium
Lineage: Bacteria
Description: partial 16S ribosomal RNA
Rfam family: Bacterial small subunit ribosomal RNA
Source: RNAcentral
GCGCCCCUACGGGAGGCAGCAGUAGGGAAUCUUCCACAAUGGGCGAAAGCCUGAUGGAGCAACGCCGCGUGGGUGAAGAAGGUCUUCGGAUCGUAAAACCCUGUUGUUAGAGGAGAAAGUGCGUGAGAGUAACUGUUCACGUUUCGACGGUAUCUAACCAGAAAGCCACGGCUAACUACGUGCCAGCAGCCGCGGUAAUACGUAGGUGGCAAGCGUUAUCCGGAUUUAUUGGGCGUAAAGGGAACGCAGGCGGCCUAUUCAGUCUGAU